This 409-nucleotide ribosomal RNA is filed under the name uncultured bacterium. RNAcentral's name for it is "bacterial SSU rRNA". It matches the Rfam family "Bacterial small subunit ribosomal RNA", at positions 29 to 481 of the family's 1533-position model. The record is from RNAcentral.
AGCGAACGCUGGCGGCAGGCUUAACACAUGCAAGUCGAGCGGGCGUAGCAAUACGUCAGCGGCAGACGGGUGAGUAACGCGUGGGAACAUACCUUUUGGUUCGGAACAACACAGGGAAACUUGUGCUAAUACCGGAUAAGCCCUUACGGGGAAAGAUUUAUCGCCGAAAGAUUGGCCCGCGUCUGAUUAGCUAGUUGGUGAGGUAAUGGCUCACCAAGGCGACGAUCAGAGCUGGUCUGAGAGGAUGAUCAGCCACAUUGGGGACUGAGACACGGCCCAAACUCCUACGGGAGGCAGCAGUGGGGAAUAUUGGACAAUGGGCGCAAGCCUGAUCCAGCCAUGCCGCGUGAGUGAUGAAGGCCCUAGGGUUGUAAAGCUCUUUUGUGCGGGAAGAUAAUGACGGUACCGC